UAUGUAAUAUCGGAGUUCCACUCCUGACUUACUACCACGGUUGUUUGUCCGAUUGUAACAUUCGUCUAAGAAGGAGAAGGAAAAAGAAAAAAAUGUCAACAAAUGAGAAACGAAGGUAUGUAGAAGGGGAAUCUAGAAGGGAGACGAAUCGACAAUCGCUUAGAGACGCUACGACGAAUCGUGAAUUCCGAUGUAAUCAAGCAUAUUUUGUUCUUUGGUCAAAUUCCGAUUCGAUAGAGUCGAACGUAAAGAGGAACCUGAGUCUAUCGCCAGGUGAUAGGCCACGUGAUUGACUUAUCUUGCUGUCGAGAAAGGAAAAACGGACGACGAACGUUGUUAUGCGAAGAAACGAAACGACAAACGACUCGACGCAGCACAGGUCUUUCGACUACUAAACCUUCCGCCCCGUCGCUUUCCACGAAUAUAACCAGCCACGCUUCUGAUGCUAUCACCGCUACUACUGCCAUUACCACUGCUACUACACCAACGGAGAUGGCAGUGUAAAAUCGACGGAUUCCACACUUUUUUCCGCUUUUUCCGAUGAAAAAUGUAAUUUAUCUUUGAUCAGGAUAUUCGAAAACAAAAGAAAGAAAAAAAUGGAGAUGUGGGGGCUUUGUUUCGGCACUUGGUGUUAGAGUUGAAAACAGAAGGUUUUAAUCUGCCUUUGUCAGCCCAAUCGAUAACCAGCCGCGUCGUUCUACAUAUAUAUAUAUAUAUCAUAGUAUAACAGUGCUACCAACGUGUUGCUCGAAAUACGGGUAGGAGAAUGCGCACUUUCGAUGUAUAUAUAGCUUGAAAAAGUGAAAAAUUCUAGUAACUAAAAAACCUCCUUGACCAUGCCUAUAUCUAUGAGAUAGAAAUUAAUCGAAGUAAUUCCUACUCGUUAUCUACUAAGUAGGCUUUGUCGAUUGUCGGUUACUUUAUCGACCGAGUAAGUACGCGUGUUAUCAACUCGCAGCAUUUAUUCGAAGGUACCCUCGUUCUAUGUCGGAGGAAACAUUCUCUUUAAAAUCAUAAGGUAAAUGUCAUGAUACAUAACGGGUUUGGGCAUUCAGCUCAUUUUGUUAUUAAUCAUUAAUUAUUCGAAUUGUGGACCGUGCGUAUAACGAGCUAUAAAAUAUAUUGGAUAGAUUGAAACAUUCCAUGUUCAAUUGUGAAGAUUAUAUUUAAGAAUAAUAAACGCUAAUUUGGUACAAAAUCUA
Vespula pensylvanica (western yellowjacket) is the source of this 1202-nucleotide long non-coding RNA. RefSeq lists it as uncharacterized. The record is from RefSeq and is a predicted model, not a curated record. The transcript is spliced from 2 exons. NCBI's taxonomy places the organism in Eukaryota, Metazoa, Arthropoda, Insecta, Hymenoptera, Vespidae.